Molecule: ribosomal RNA, 301 nt
Filed under: uncultured bacterium
Lineage: Bacteria
Description: partial 16S ribosomal RNA
Rfam family: Bacterial small subunit ribosomal RNA
Source: RNAcentral
CAGUAGCCGCGGUAAAACGUAGGUGGCAAGCGUUGUCCGGAAUUAUUGGGCGUAAAGGGCUCGCAGGCGGUUUCUUAAGUCUGAUGUGAAAGCCCCCGGCUCAACCGGGGAGGGUCAUUGGAAACUGGGAAACUUGAGUGCAGAAGAGGAGAGUGGAAUUCCACGUGUAGCGGUGAAAUGCGUAGAGAUGUGGAGGAACACCAGUGGCGAAGGCGACUCUCUGGUCUGUAACUGACGCUGAGGAGCGAAAGCGUGGGGAGCGAACAGGAUUAGAGACCCCAGUAGUCCCUGUCUCUUAUAC